This 432-nucleotide ribosomal RNA is filed under the name uncultured bacterium. Its description in RNAcentral is "bacterial SSU rRNA". It matches the Rfam family "Bacterial small subunit ribosomal RNA", at positions 917 to 1350 of the family's 1533-position model. The record is from RNAcentral.
GGGCCCGCACAAGCGGUGGAGUAUGUGGUUUAAUUCGAUGCAACGCGAAGAACCUUACCAGGGUUUGACAUCCUGCGAAUCUCUUGGAAACGAGAGAGUGCCUUCGGGAGCGCAGUGACAGGUGGUGCAUGGCUGUCGUCAGCUCGUGUCGUGAGAUGUUGGGUUAAGUCCCGCAACGAGCGCAACCCACGUCUUUAGUUGCCAGCAUUCAGUUGGGCACUCUAGAGAGACCGCCGGUGAUAAACCGGAGGAAGGUGUGGAUGACGUCAAGUCAUCAUGCCCCUUACGUCCUGGGCUACACACGUACUACAAUGCUACGGACAAAGAGCAGCAAGUUCGCGAGGACAAGCAAAUCUCAUAAACCGUGGCUCAGUUCAGAUCGUAGGCUGCAACUCGCCUACGUGAAGGAGGAAUCGCUAGUAAUCGCAGGUC